Oncorhynchus masou masou (cherry salmon) is the source of this 712-nucleotide long non-coding RNA. RefSeq lists it as uncharacterized. The transcript has 3 exons. The record is from RefSeq and is a predicted model, not a curated record. Lineage: Eukaryota; Metazoa; Chordata; Actinopteri; Salmoniformes; Salmonidae.
UUAACUGCAAGUAGCCUAAGGUGUCGAUUAUUAUUUUCUCCAGCAGUGCAAUUACUUUGUAGGAGUUGCUUCAAGCCGUGAAAUCAGUCACAGGUUGCACUGUUUUGCAGCGUCUCAGAGCGAGGGUCUUUGGUGAGAGCGGUUCACUGUCGCUGUCGGACCAGUUUACCUCAUUGUGCGUUGACAUUGCGUCGUCAGACACAUAGGCGAGACAUAAUAGAGCUUGAGUGCCUGAAUUUAAAUCAUUCUUGGCCGACUGUACAUGCAGAUUGCAUUUAGUUUAGCAUGGUCAAGCAAUUGUUAUAAAGGUUAUAGAGACCAAAGUGCGUGGGAAAAAAAUGGAGAGAGAAACGACAUCUUUGAAGCAGCAAUAUUGCUGCACAACUGUUAUGAACGUUAUCUCGUCUUUAUUCUCUGUAGCGUCCCUUGCCUUUUGCAUAUUAUUAAGUGUACAAACAUCAGCGAUCGCGGACAGGGUCCUGGAUUUGGAAACUGGACAUGGCGAGCAAAUAUUUCACAGGGUCCCCAGUUUUUCUGUGGAUCAGUUUAAUUCAUUGAUUCAAGAGAGAGUGGAUGAGCUCCUGUCACAGCGCUCCUAUGAAAAUUUAUCGAAGGUACGGAUUGCCCGACAAGUCAGCCAUACUCCUGAUUGCAACUGUCCCCCAGGCCCGCCAGGAAAGCGGGGAAGAAGAGGCCGGAAUGGCGAACCUGG